Molecule: long non-coding RNA, 451 nt
Organism: Sinocyclocheilus anshuiensis
Lineage: Eukaryota; Metazoa; Chordata; Actinopteri; Cypriniformes; Cyprinidae
Exons: 4
Source: RefSeq, a predicted model, not a curated record
GCCAUCUCGGCUCUAAUUCUCCACUCUGUCGCCCGUCCUCCGCAUUGGUACGUGAGCCGUAAUGGCUUCCGUUGCGCCGGGGUCUCGCAGGCAUUAUGGGAUAAGGGCGGAAUUGUAGCGGUUUCCGGAUUCCCUGGAUUGGCCUGCUGGGAAGAAAGAAAACUAGGGAGGUGGGAAAAAAACUCCAGGGUUUUGAGUUUUAUCACGCGUUUAUAACAGUUGUAUCAUCAGGCAGGAGCAUCAUGUCGCAUGGAGAAAAAGGAAAGUUCCCUGAUGCUGCAGGAUAUGUGGGAUUUGCCAACCUGCCCAAUCAGGUUCACAGGAAGUCUGUGAAGAAAGGCUUUGAGUUUACACUGAUGGUUGUAGGAGAGUCUGGUCUUGGCAAAUCAACCCUGAUCAACAGCCUCUUCCUGACUGACCUCUACCCAGAGCGCUAUAUACCUGGAGCGGC